GACGAACGCUGGCGGCGUGCUUAACACAUGCAAGUCGAACGGUGAAGCGAGUGCUUGCACUCGUGGAUCAGUGGCGAACGGGUGAGUAACACGUGAGUAACCUGCCCAUCACUCUGGGAUAAGCACUGGAAACGGUGUCUAAUACUGGAUACGACCAACCCUUGCAUGGGGUGUUGGUGGAAAGAUUUAUCGGUGAUGGAUGGACUCGCGGCCUAUCAGCUUGUUGGCGGGGUAAUGGCCCACCAAGGCGACGACGGGUAGCCGGCCUGAGAGGGUGACCGGCCACACUGGGACUGAGACGCGGCCCGGACUCCUACGGGAGGCAGCAGUGGGGAAUAUUGCACCAUGGGCGAAAGCCUGAUGCAGCGACGCCGCGUGAGGGAUGACGGCCUUCGGGUUGUAAACCUCUUUCAGCAGGGAAGAAGCGAAAGUGACGGUACCUGAAGAAGAAGCACCGGCUAACUACGUG
RNAcentral lists this ribosomal RNA (469 nucleotides) under uncultured bacterium. RNAcentral's name for it is "partial 16S ribosomal RNA". It matches the Rfam family "Bacterial small subunit ribosomal RNA", at positions 28 to 507 of the family's 1533-position model. The record is from RNAcentral.